This 1530-nucleotide long non-coding RNA is filed under the name Chloebia gouldiae (Gouldian finch). Its description in RNAcentral is "Erythrura gouldiae (Gouldian finch) lncRNA (ENSEGOG00005019029.1)". The record is from RNAcentral. Lineage: Eukaryota; Metazoa; Chordata; Aves; Passeriformes; Passeridae.
CGGAGGGGUCCCGACGGUAUCAGGAUGUCCUGGGAUGUCCCGGGAGGAUAUUCCGGGGGAUCCCGGGGCUAUAGGGGUGUCCUGGGAUGUCUCGGGGAGGGAUUCCGGGGGAUCCCGGCGCUAUGGGAAUGUCCCGGGAUGUCCCGGGGGUCCCCGGCGCUAUGGGAAUGUCCCGGGAUGUCCCGGGACACCGGAGCGAUGGAAAUCCCCGUCCGCUCUCUGGCGGCAGAGCAGCGGAACGGCAGCGCCGCAGCAUCCCCGGCAUGGAAAAUCCCGUGCGGAGAGGCGGAGGCACGGACAGAGGGAAAGAGCUCCGAAAGGGACCGAAAGGCACCGAGGUGGGGCUGCUCGGCUCCUCGCCCCUGCUCUGCGCGAACAGCUGGAAAGCCAAGAGAUCUUGGGGAGAACCAGCAAGAUGCUCCAGAUGCUGAUCUCUUUCUGAUGAUGUCGCUGCUUCGGGAGGUGAGGGAGCGAGAGGCAGAAGAGGAGCAGCACCGCUGUGCUGUGGGAAAGGAUUGUUCUCACCCACCUGUCCCCUCCUCAGAGCGAUCUGUGCUCGGUGGAAGUAAAAAAACUCCCAAACACCGGCGGUUUUCCCGAGGUUUGCCGUGAGCGGGCGGCGAGUGCUGCGGGAUGCCGGGAGGCGGCGCUGGCGCCGCGCCGGGAGCCGGGAACGGGCUGGGAAUGGGCUGGGAAUGGGCUGGAACGGGGCUGGAACGGGGCUGGAACGGGGCUGGAAUGGGGCUGGGAACGGGGCUGGAACAGGGCUGGGAACGGGGCUGGAAUGGGGCUGGGAAUGGGGCUGGAACAGGGCUGGGAACGGGGCUGGAACGGGGCUGGAACGGGGCUGGAACGGGGCUGGAACAGGGCUGGGAACGGGGCUGGAAUGGGGCUGGGAAUGGGGCUGGAACAGGGCUGAAACGGGGCUGGAAUGGGGCUGGGAAUGGGCUGGGAAUGGGGCUGGAACAGGGCUGGAACGGGGCUGGAAUGGGGCUGGGAAUGGGCUGGGAAUGGGGCUGGAAUGGGGCUGGGAAUAGGAUGGGAAUGGGAUGGGAACGGGGCUGGAAUAGGAUGGGAAUGGGGCUGGAAACGGGGCUGGAAUGGGAUGGGAAUGGGCUGGGAAUGGGGCUGGGAAUAGGAUGGGAAUGGGGAUGGGAUGGGGCUGGAAUGUAAUUCCGUGGAUGAUCCGCUUUUACACUUUCCUCAAAGGUUUACUUUCCUCAAAGGUUUACAGAAUGAAAUGAAAAUUAGUUUCAAAGACAAGCAUAGAAACAUUUUCUUGGAGAACCGAAGAGUAUCCUGAGAGCGACCUCUGAGCCAUCUCAGCAUCACUGUGAAAGGAUUCUUUGCUGGGCUUUCUCUCUGAGUUUUUAAACAACUGGUUAGCACCUUCUCUGGGAGGAACACAGCCUUGCUAACACAGAAAUCAUUCCUUGGGGUUGGCAAUUUUAUCACAUAAAUACUUCAGAGGACUAUUCAAGCUUCUUCUGAGUUAAUAAAACAAUAGCAACAAGGCUGGGUUAUGUCUGC